GAUGAACGCUGGCGGCGUGCUUAACACAUGCAAGUCGAACGGAAAGGCCCAAGCUUGCUUGGGUACUCGAGUGGCGAACGGGUGAGUAACACGUGGGUGAUCUGCCCUGCACUUCGGGAUAAGCCUGGGGAACUGGGUCUAAUACCGGAUAGGACGAUGGUUUGGAUGCCAUUGUGGAAAGUUUUUUCGGUGUGGGAUGAGCUCGCGGCCUAUCAGCUUGUUGGUGGGGUAAUGGCCUACCAAGGCGUCGACGGGUAGCCGGCCUGAGAGGGUGUACGGCCACAUUGGGACUGAGAUACGGCCCAGACUCCUACGGGAGGCAGCAGUGGGGAAUAUUGCACAAUGGGCGCAAGCCUGAUGCAGCGACGCCGCGUGGGGGAUGACGGCCUUCGGGUUGUAAACUCCUUUCGCUAGGGACGAAGCGUUUUUGUGACGGUACCUGGAGAAGAAGCACCGGCUAACUACGUG
This 468-nucleotide ribosomal RNA is filed under the name uncultured bacterium. RNAcentral's name for it is "partial 16S ribosomal RNA". It matches the Rfam family "Bacterial small subunit ribosomal RNA", at positions 28 to 507 of the family's 1533-position model. The record is from RNAcentral.